CACUUGGAGUGUAGGGGGAGCAAAAGCCAGAAUCUCCACCCCCCCACCCCCAAGAAUGGUAAAGUCAUCAGCAGUUGGGGGAAAAAAUUCCUCAAGAAGAAAAACAGAAAGAGGAAAGUGCUGAGCUCUGAGUUCUGUCUCUCUCCAAAUUUCCCCAAAUGUUUCCCCUCAUGAGGGAGGGAGAGGACCCGUCUGGGCUCUGAAGUCUGGAACAGGAGCAGAGGCUGCCCAGGUAUAAAUGUACCAGGCCUUCCAGAGUUCACUCUGCCCAUCUACAGAAGCAGCUGAGGUGGGAGAGGACGGCAUGAGAGACAAGACCACCGUAUCAUUCCAGCCCCAAUCGGAGAGUCCCAGACAACAGCUCCAGGCUCUCAGCUGGGCCCUGUGGCCCGAGGGGGAAGGGAGCAUGGUGGGCAGGGAGGAACUGCCACCUGGAAGGGCUUGAUGGGAACCAGCUGGCUGGGGUGGGGCCUUGGGAGUGUGGGUUGCGGGGAGGGCGGGGCCGGAGGCCACAGUGGGCGGGCAACUGACAGCUCAGGGCUGGGAGUGGCUGCUGGAGGCCCCCACCUUCCCUGAGGCUGGAGUCCAGAUGCCUCCACAGCCGUCCAGGCUCUUCCAACCCGCUGACCUCAUUCCCAGCUCCCUCCCGUGCAGCCCCCCUCAAUUGUCUGCCACGUAGACUGGAGCCUCAGCAACAAUCUCCGUAGGGGUGGCUGCGAGAGGAGCCAGGCACACUUAGCCCAGGAAACCUGCUAAGCCGGAGGGAGCUAGGGAAGGUAGCUGUGACCACUCGGUGCCUCAGUUUCCCCUCCCCAAACACGAGUCCCAGUGAAUGGAGAAGAGCGAGGUGUGAAGCGGGUUACAGUUGCUAAACAAGACUCAAGGUGUUGGGGGACCCUAGAGGUCACCCCAACCAUCCCUCAGUGUCUUGGGUCUGGAGUGUAUUGCUCUCAAGAAGGGGCAGAGGUGCGUGCGCAGGCUGGGGGUGUGUGUGUGGGGUCCCUCCUUUGUCAAAGGAAGUUCCCAGAAAGUUUGAAAUCCUUUGUGAAAUCUAGGCCCCCCCCCCCCCCCCCGCCACCUCAGGCUGCAUUAGGCUACAAUUUGCCAUUUUAUAGCAGAGAUAUAGUGAGACGAAUGUAGUGUCCUCUCCCUAGGCACCUUAGGGACCUCACCGUGAGUCCCUGGACUGAGCUCUCUCUACCUCUGACCUCUGUUUCUCCCUUGCCUCCCUGUCUCAGAGUGAGUGUCCCAGUUGACCCUGACUGACCAGGAAGCCAUCCCCAUUCCUGCUGGCCCACAGAGUUCCAGGCUUGUGAGUCAUCGGGGAAUGUCUGUUCUGCCUGCAGCUCCCAAACUCUAAGCCAGGGACCCUCUUGUUUGACAGGAGUCCUGGAAGCAGAGAGGAAGUCUUGCUUAAAGGAAAUCCACAAGUGAGCCAGAGGGCUUGGCCUCUCCCAGAGACGGUCCCUGCCUAAUGGCCGGCUUCAUCCAAGGUGGGGGAGCGGCAGGCUGGGAGCGUGGAUGAAAGAAAAAGGAAGCCCAAUGUGGCAGGCAUUCCCUCUCUGCUGCCUGGCUGCUCUGUCCCCUCACAUCCACCUCCUGCCCUGUCACCCCAGACCUGCAGCGAUGGGACAGUUGAUCGUGGAAGGAAUCGGUGAGCCCAAGCAGAUCUUCCCUCCUUCAAACCUUUUCAGGGUACCCUCAUCACUUACCAGUUUCUCUGUGCCCUGUGGGAACAGGAGAAGUUGGAAGUGCAGCCACCUAUAAUCAGAAUGGACAUCUAUGCCUGAGUGGGGCCCAUUCCUUGUGGGGCGGGUCAGAGGGUCUAGGUCAGCCCCAGGAAAGAUCAGGGCCCCUGCGUGCUCACGUGUGCGCAAUGUACUGUAGUAUAUAUACAAGUAUACACGUGUAUAGGCGAGUGGGGGUGUCACCUGCCCAUAUAUGUGUAUGUGAAGGCCAGGGGUCAAUGUUGGUUGUCUUUCUCACUUGCUUGUCACUGGGGAGAUUGGCUGUCUAAUAAAAAGCACCCAGAAUCUU
Rattus norvegicus (Norway rat) is the source of this 2037-nucleotide non-coding RNA. Lineage: Eukaryota; Metazoa; Chordata; Mammalia; Rodentia; Muridae. The record is from RefSeq and is a predicted model, not a curated record.